ACGAACGCGGGCGGCGUGCCUAAUACAUGCAAGUCGAGCGAAUCAAUAGGAGCUUGCUCCUGUUGGUUAGCGGCGGACGGGUGAGUAACACGUGGGCAACCUGCCUGUAAGACUGGGAUAACACCGGGAAACCGGUGCUAAUACCGGAUAAUCCUUUUCCUCUCAUGAGGAAAAGCUGAAAGUCGGUUUCGGCUGACACUUACAGAUGGGCCCGCGGCGCAUUAGCUAGUUGGUGAGGUAACGGCUCACCAAGGCGACGAUGCGUAGCCG
This 270-nucleotide ribosomal RNA is filed under the name Bacillus sp. ISOM279_OTU386. Its description in RNAcentral is "partial 16S ribosomal RNA". It matches the Rfam family "Bacterial small subunit ribosomal RNA", at positions 29 to 289 of the family's 1533-position model. Lineage: Bacteria; Bacillati; Bacillota; Bacilli; Caryophanales; Bacillaceae. The record is from RNAcentral.